Long non-coding RNA from Homo sapiens (human), 1804 nucleotides. Ensembl annotates it as long intergenic non-protein coding RNA 2436. The record is from Ensembl. NCBI's taxonomy places the organism in Eukaryota, Metazoa, Chordata, Mammalia, Primates, Hominidae.
GGAGUGCAGUGGCGCAAUCUCAGGUCACUGCAACCUCUGCCUCCCGGGUUGAAGCAAUUCUCCUGUCUCAGCUCUCGAGUAGCUGGGAUUACAGGAAAAGCUGACCUUCUGGUACGGAAGAGCAUGAGCAGUGAGUGAGCAGUGCCCAUGCGUUGUGAGGCGGCCUCCAUGGUAUAAGGUUUAGGCAAAUAAUGAUGAACAAAAAUGGUCAGUCUGUGUUCCUGCUGACCCAGCACAGUGGGGACGCUGUGUAGGACAUGACCUUUGGGGGAAAGGACACAAGAACUCAGCGUGGGGGAUCCAGAAAAGAAGUCGCACGUAUUGAAGCCAGUAACGCCAAGCCAGUGAAUUCUCCUUGACGAGAAAGACCCACUUACUCUGCAGAAGAGAUAUAUGACAGCUGACAAUCCCUGGAGGAGAAUCUUUCUACUAAAUUGUUGAAAACAUUCAAGUACGGAAUAAACUAUUACUGCGAAUACGCUCAUAUGACACAAGAACAAUCUCUGAGCUUCUUUGAGGAUGUCCAGAUGACUGCUGACUGCACUAAUUGCAUCAAUCGUGUAUCCAUACAGGCCUGCCACAAGAAUACGAAGGCCAGAGCUCCAGCAGCUGUUGGAGCCACGAUGUGACCCUGAAGGCAGGAAACUCAGCUUUGGAAGUAACUCCAGGUUGAAGAACUUCUACUUAUAGGCAUCUAUUCAACGAAGACGAAUCCUGGAAUGGGGAUGGAAAUGAUGGCUCAUGUCUUAGCAAACUACCAAACUGAUCCGAGAGGACAGGGAAGUCAGUGUGGGCGGCUCUAAGGAGCCUCCCUCUCUACAGCUGCGGCUCAGAGGAUUACGGCGCUUCAUCCACAAGGCAACAUUGCACAAUUCCCACACACAUUUAGUGUCGUCUCAAAAUUCACGCUGUCAACUGUCUCUAGGAAUCAUUUCCAUCUGAGAACAGACCACACAAAGACACAGUGAAACUCAGUUUCUGCAGAAUUUGAUUUCAUUUGAGUUACUGGGGAACAAAGCAAUUAGACAAUGAAUAAUAGCUCAAGACAGGCUGAAGCUGAAGAUUUCUGCAAAAGAAUGAAGAGGAAACGUUUUGAUCCUGAGCAGAUGUUCUCCCUAGAUUGCUUCACCUGAGGUUGAUUGACUUUUGGAAACGAGAUUUGUUCCCAGUGCUUUGUGAGUCUCUUGUUGGAAGGACUGUCUUUAAAUUAAAGCAAUUAGAGUUACUUUAUAAGAUUUACCCAAAUAUAAGAGCUGAAGAGAAUAAUUCAAAUUGAUCAGAAGAAAAUACUCAAUUACUGACAAAUGUCAAUUACAUCAAUAGCCUAGGCUGCUCUUGAACUCCUGGGCUCAAACGAUCCUCCCCUGUCGGCCUCCCAAAGUGCUGGGAUUACAAGCUUGAACCACCAUGCCCAGCCUCAGAAAUUUUUUAAAUGACAGCUCAUACAGUUUUCUUUUAUAAAGGAGGAGAAAAUGUGUAAUUGUAAGCAGCUGAACUAAAAUAUCUCUGUGACAUUUUGCUGGUGACUCCAGCCCUGUGAGAUCUGAGUGGCUCAGGAAUCAAAUUCUCCCACAAACCUGAGGAAGCCUUUUAUUCUUAAUGCCAACAGGAUGCCCCAUGCCCAGAAUGUCAAAUCUGAACACCAAUGGAAUGCAUUUUAUAAACAAAUUGAAAAAGGACAAUCUUUAACAGAAUUGUUGUUCUCUAGGCAGAUUAGUUGUGCUUCAAAUACAAAAUGAAAUAUUAGAGAACAAAAUUAUUUUUAAACAGCUAAUACUAGUAGAAAAUAAAAGGCUGAAAAGUG